This 563-nucleotide ribosomal RNA is filed under the name Hansenula anomala. RNAcentral describes it as "eukaryotic LSU rRNA". It matches the Rfam family "Eukaryotic large subunit ribosomal RNA", at positions 92 to 670 of the family's 3401-position model. Lineage: Eukaryota; Fungi; Ascomycota; Saccharomycetes; Phaffomycetales; Wickerhamomycetaceae. The record is from RNAcentral.
AGUGAAGCGGCAAAGCUCAAUUUGAAAUCUAGCACCUUCGGUGUUCGAGUUGUAAUUUGAAGAUGGUAACCUUGGGUUUGGCUCUUGUCUAUGUUCCUUGGAACAGGACGUCAUAGAGGGUGAGAAUCCCGUCUGAUGAGAUGCCCAUUCCUAUGUAAGGUGCUAUCGAAGAGUCGAGUUGUUUGGGAAUGCAGCUCUAAGUGGGUGGUAAAUUCCAUCUAAAGCUAAAUAUUGGCGAGAGACCGAUAGCGAACAAGUACAGUGAUGGAAAGAUGAAAAGAACUUUGAAAAGAGAGUGAAAAAGUACGUGAAAUUGUUGAAAGGGAAGGGCAUUAGAUCAGACUUGGUGUUUUACGAUUAUCUUCUCUUCUUGAGUUGUGCACUCGUAUUUCACUGGGCCAGCAUCGAUUCGGAUGGCAAGAUAAUGGCAGUUGAAUGUGGCUUCACUUCGGUGGAGUGUUAUAGCUUCUGCUGAUAUUGCCUGUCUGGAUCGAGGGCUGCGUCUUUUGACUAGGAUGCUGGCGUAAUGAUCUAAUGCCGCCCGUCUUGAAACACGGACCAAA